RNA transcript from Pistacia vera, 1207 nucleotides. It is a transcript of the gene named pumilio homolog 6, chloroplastic-like, with no coding region annotated. The transcript has 3 exons. Lineage: Eukaryota; Viridiplantae; Streptophyta; Magnoliopsida; Sapindales; Anacardiaceae. The record is from RefSeq and is a predicted model, not a curated record.
GGUCUUACAACUUGAUUGAGAGUAUUUGGCUGCAGCUAUUACCCUUUUAUAAGACUUUAUCAAAAGCAUAGUUUUGCUAAUAGCUGUAUAUAUAAAGGACACUACACUGUAACAAACAUAUCUUCUCAUUAAUGGAAAAUCAGAGAAAUUCAGUUUUAACAUUUCUCUCAACUUGACAUAUGUCAUCAAAAAUGGAAAACUUUCCUUCAUUUUCCUCUUCACCAAACACUAAUUAAAUUUAAAUAAAUGCAAAGAACUCGAAUCUGAUGAGUUCUUUAGCAAAAGUAAAUCAACCUUCCUCUGAAAAAUCUCUUGAUUACAAGGAUUUUGUUCUACAAUUCUCGACUCCAGUUCAGAUCACUCUCAACCAAAUGUUGUCAAGCUUCAGAAAUCAAAUCACAAUUUCUGGAAAUCACUGGUGUUAUCUGGAUCUAGAACUCAUGGUUUGGAACCCUAUCUUACUGGAGUUAAAGCUUGUCCUGCACUAUUUGUUGAGGUAAAAUCUGAAAACUCGAAUGAGGGCCUUGAAGUCAUUGAGCUUGAUGGGCAUGUCAUGAGAUGUGUCCAUGACCAGAAUGGGAAUCAUGUGGUACAGAAGUGUAUAAAAUGUGUACCUGUGGAAAAAAUUGGAUUUAUUAUUUUUGCUUUUCGACGACAAAUUGCCACGCUUUCUACACACCCAUAUGGUUGUUGUGUUAUUCAGAGUUUUGGAGCAUUGUUCAGAAGAACAACAAGGUCAACGUAUAGUGGAUGAAAUUUUGGAAUCUGCUUAUGUUCUUGCUCAGGGCCAGAAUGGGAACUAUGUUACCCAGGUAGGUAUUGUGUGCUUUGUGCCGUUUACUUAAUUCUUUGAUUGUUCUUGGGUAGAACAACUGUCUAUUAAGUGCUUAGAAACAAGUCAAUUUCUCAUAAAAUGUUGUGUUUUUGCUUCUAUAUUCCAACGGCAAAUAGUUUAUUGUUGUAUAUGCCUCAAACUGACUUCUUUGAACUUGUUGAUUACCAAGCUUACUUGUCUUGAUUAGACUUGUAGUUCUCUUUAGCUUUUAGCACCGAGUUCAUAAACUUUGUUAAAUAGUUUAGGCAUUGUUGGCCUUCAUUCACCAAUGGUCUUAUGAUCUCACCGGUUUGUGAUAUAGUUUCCUGAACAAGUAUGUAUUUCAGUGAGAAGUAAUUUAUUACUCUUCUGCUGCCUCAUAUGAAGAAAAAC